RNAcentral lists this transfer RNA (76 nucleotides) under Mariniblastus fucicola. RNAcentral describes it as "tRNA-Gln". It matches the Rfam family "tRNA". From Rfam's summary of the family: Transfer RNA (tRNA) molecules are approximately 80 nucleotides in length. Their secondary structure includes four short double-helical elements and three loops (D, anti-codon, and T loops). Further hydrogen bonds mediate the characteristic L-shaped molecular structure. tRNAs have two regions of fundamental functional importance: the anti-codon, which is responsible for specific mRNA codon recognition, and the 3' end, to which the tRNAs corresponding amino acid is attached (by aminoacyl-tRNA synthetases). tRNAs cope with the degeneracy of the genetic code in two manners: having more than one tRNA (with a specific anti-codon) for a particular amino acid; and 'wobble' base-pairing, i.e. permitting non-standard base-pairing at the 3rd anti-codon position. Lineage: Bacteria; Pseudomonadati; Planctomycetota; Planctomycetia; Pirellulales; Pirellulaceae. The record is from RNAcentral.
UGCGGGGUGGUUGCUGUUGGUAGCAACACCUGACUCUGAAUCAGGAGGCCGUCGGUUCGAUUCCGACCCCCGCAUC